CUACGAAGGGGGCUAGCGUUGUUCGGAAUUACUGGGCGUAAAGCGCGCGUAGGCGGACUGAUCAGUUGGGGGUGAAAUCCCAGGGCUUAACCCUGGAACUGCCUCCAAUACUGUCAGUCUUGAGUUCGGGAGAGGUGAGUGGAAUUCCUAGUGUAGAGGUGAAAUUCGUAGAUAUUAGGAAGAACACCAGUGGCGAAGGCGGCUCACUGGCCCGAUACUGACGCUGAGGCGCGAAAGCGUGGGGAGCAAACAGGAUUAGAAACCCUAGUAGUCC
Molecule: ribosomal RNA, 274 nt
Filed under: uncultured bacterium
Lineage: Bacteria
Description: partial 16S ribosomal RNA
Rfam family: Bacterial small subunit ribosomal RNA
Source: RNAcentral